RNAcentral lists this ribosomal RNA (392 nucleotides) under uncultured bacterium. Its description in RNAcentral is "partial 16S ribosomal RNA". It matches the Rfam family "Bacterial small subunit ribosomal RNA", at positions 523 to 918 of the family's 1533-position model. The record is from RNAcentral.
AUACGGAGGAUGCGAGCGUUAUCCGGAUUUAUUGGGUUUAAAGGGUGCGCAGGCGGCCAUUUAAGUCAGCGGUUAAAUCGUGGGGCUCAACCCCAUUCUGCCGUUUAUACUGGGUGGCUUGAUUGCGGUCGAGGUUGGCGGAAUUCGUUGUGUAGCGGGGAAAUGCAUAGAUAUGACGAAGAACACCGAUUGCGUAGGCAGCUGAGCAGACCGCAAAUGACGCUCAUGCACAAAAGUGCGGGGAUCGAGCAGGAUUAGAUUCCCUGGUAGUCCGCACAGUAAACGAUGAAUGCUUGUUUUCGGCGAUAUAAUGUCGGAGGCAAAGCGAAAGCGAUAAGUAUGCCACCUGGGGAGUACGCCGGCAACGGUGAAACUCAAAUGAAUUGACGGGG